RNAcentral lists this ribosomal RNA (3050 nucleotides) under Trichinella spiralis. Its description in RNAcentral is "eukaryotic LSU rRNA". The stretch from base 1 to 2498 matches the Rfam family "Eukaryotic large subunit ribosomal RNA", at positions 477 to 3401 of the family's 3401-position model. The record is from RNAcentral. Lineage: Eukaryota; Metazoa; Nematoda; Enoplea; Trichinellida; Trichinellidae.
UGUCUCAAUUGCCGUGCCAUUGCCGCAUCUCUCGGAUGAAUGUUGUUGUUGACAAGAUGAAAAGCAUUGUUCUGCGUUCAAUUGUAAUGGGUCUGUUGGUUCCGUUGCGUUCGUGGGUUUCGGCUCACGAUUUGUCUGGUACGUCGGGAAAAAAGUCAAUUAUGAAUGUAAUUGAUCUGACUACCGUGCGUAACGGAAUUCAAAUGUGUGUUUGAUGGACUUUAUUUGCAAUCGGCGCUCAAUGUGUUUUCUUAUAUCGGUGGCGUCAAUGUUAGCCUCCCAUCCGACCCGUCUUGAAACACGGACCAAGGAGUUCAGUAGGCACGCGAGUCGUUGACGUUUUUCAUUGAACAGUCGAAGGCGAAAUGAAAGUGUUAAUGAAAAUGAACUGUACUUCUUUAUGGAGUGCUGUUCAAUUUUUCAACAUGAUCGUCCUUUUUUGUGCUUAAUUGUGCAAAAUAAUAGAUGUAUGGGGACGCGCAGUGUGGUGCCGUUGAAUAGUCGCACUGUUCUCUCUUUCUCUUCGGGGUUGGAGGAACAAUUGUCGAUCAGUCGGUUUCGGAGCGUGCACACUGGUACCCGAAAGAUGGUGAACUAUGCUUGAGCAGAAUGAAGCCAGAGGAAACUCUGGUGGAAGUUCGUAGCGGUGUUGACGUGCAAAUCACUCGUCUGACUUGAGUGUAGGGGCGAAAGACUAAUCGAACCAUCUAGUUGCUGGUUCCUUCCGAAGUUUCCCUCAGGAUAGCUGGCAUUUGUUUGUAACAAUUUUAUCCGGUAGAGCGAAUGAUUAGAGGUGUUGGGAACGCAAUGUUCUCAGCCUAUUCUCAAACUUCGAAUGGGUAAGCAAGGCGUUUUGCUUUGAUUUUACGAUGAAAUCGCCCAAUUAGAAUGUAUAAAUGCCUAGUGGGCCAAUUUUGGUAAGCAGAACUGGCGAUGUGGAAUGAACCAAAAGUCAGGUUAAGGUGCCAGACAUUGGCGCUCAUGAAAUACCAGAAAAGGUGUUGGUCGAUAUAGACAGCAGGACGGUGGCCAUGGAAGUUGGAAUCCGCCAAGGAGUGUGUAACAACUCACCUGCCGAAUCGACUAGCCCUGAAAAUGGAUAGCGUUUGAGCUCCAGGCCCAUACCUGACCGUCUCAAUUACGCACUUUUUUUUCGGAAAAGGUGUAAUGAACGUUGAGACGGGUAGGAAGGUCGCGACAGUGUUGCUUUGAAGAGUUUUGAGCGUGAGCUCGCUCGGAGCCGCUGUUGGUGCAGAUCUUGGUGGUAGUAGCAAAUAUUCAAGUGAGAACCUUGAAGGCUGAAGUGGAGCAAGGUUCCAUGUGAACAGCAGUUGGACAUGGGUCAGUCGAUCCUAAGAAAACGGCGAAAGCUUGUUCGAAUUUGCGACAUGAAUUGUAAGACUGAAUAAUUAUUUGUGUGUGUGUUGUGGUGGAGGCGAUUGUGUCGUCACCAGUUGUUGUUGUGUGCAGUUGUCGUAUGUUUUCGAAAGGGAAUCCGGUUGAUAUUCCGGAACCGAGUAACGGAGACAAAGAGUAGCGCUUUAAUCUCUCUGUGGGGUUGGCGUUCAACUCAAUCGCGCGGUAACGCAAGCGAACUCGGAAAAUGACCGUCGUGAGUUUCGAAAAGAGUUUUCUUUUCUUUUUAAGGGACGCAUUCCCUGGAACCGGGUUGUCCGGAGAUAGGGAUUCUGGUAUCCAUAAAACGCCGACUUUUUCACGGUGUUCGGAGCGCUCUCGUCGGUACGUGAAAAUCCGAGCGACGCCUGGUAAAUCUCGUACUUGGUCGUACUGAUAUCCGCAGCAGGUCUCCAAGGUGAAUAGCCUCUGGCCGAUAGAAUAAUGUAGGUAAGGGAAGUCGGCAAAACGGAUCCGUAACUUCGGAACAAGGAUUGGCUCUAAGGGCUGGGCCGAUCGGGCUGAGGUUUCAAGCGUGCAGUGUAUGCUUGGCUUAGUUGUGUUGAGGACUUGUUCACUUGCCACCGGUUGUUCGGCUGGUCGAGUGUAUUCGAGUCUGAAGCAGAGCUGGCCGACAGACCGGCACGUGCAGAACCUGAGCUGCGCGGCUGUCCGUUUUCGUGUACAGACCGUUUCGGUCGGCAUUCAACAGCCAACUUAGAACUGGCACGGACACAAGGAAUCUGACUGUAUAAUUAAAACAAAGCAUUGCGAUGGCCGAUGAUCGGUGAUGACGCAAUGUGAUUUCUGCCCAGUGCUCUGAAUGUCAAAGUGAAGAAAUUCAAUCAAGCGCGGGUAAACGGCGGGAGUAACUAUGACUCUCUUAACCUGAUUUCGUCCGUGCGGCGGCGUUUUCUUUUCGCUCUCCGCUCGUCGAAAUUUGCUGUAGUUGAUUCGCUUUUCUUUGCGUUUUCUUCUACUUUCGCAGUUUUUUCUGCAUUGCCACGAUGUCAAACCGCCUUGCCAAUACUGCUGCGGCUGGUGGGGUUCCAGAGAAAACCUCGGGAACUUUAGACAUUCCUGGCCAACCCUCUUCAUCCGGUGAAAAGCGUGCGAUCUCUUACCCUGGUCCAUUCGGUUGCAAUUCGUGUUCGUUUACGAGUACGACUUGGCUCUCAUUGGAAUUGCAUUUUAAAAGCGUCCAUAAUAUUCGUGACUUCGUCUUCCUCUGCUCUAAAUGUAAAAAAAGCUGGCCAUCGAUCAACUCCGUAGCUAGCCAUUACCCUCGGUGCAAAGGUAGCGUCAAGGCUGCAGUUGUUCCUACAUCUUUGGCGAAUACGUGCACCACGUGCGGCUCAAGCUUCGGUACUUUCAGUGGUCUUCAACUCCAUCGGAAAAGAGCACAUCCGGACGUUUUUGCUGCUUCUUGUAGCAAAAAAACGAAGGCGCGUUGGUCUAACGACGAAUUUACCCUUCUGGCGAGACUCGAAGCAGGUCUGGAUCCAGCCUGUAAAAACAUUAACCAAGUACUAGCGGAAAGGUUAAUGGAGUAUAACAUCACCAGAGGCGUAGAAAUGAUAAAAGGCCAACGUAGAAAAGAUCAGUACAAAGCGCUCGUUCGUCAACUCCGGUCAAAUUCUGAAACACAGCAAUGU